CAGCAGCCGCGGGAACACGUAGGGUGCAAGCGUUAAUCGGAAUUACUGGGCGUAAAGCGUGCGCAGGCGGUUUGUUAAGACAGAUGUGAAAUCCCCGGGCUCAACCUGGGAACUGCAUUUGUGACUGGCAAGCUAGAGUGUGGCAGAGGGGGGUGGAAUUCCGCGUGUAGCAGUGAAAUGCGUAGAUAUGCGGAGGAACACCGAUGGCGAAGGCAGCCCCCUGGGCCAACACUGACGCUCAUGCACGAAGGCGUGGGGAGCAAACAGGAUUAGAUACCCCUGUAGUCCCUGUCUCUUAUAC
Molecule: ribosomal RNA, 301 nt
Filed under: uncultured bacterium
Lineage: Bacteria
Description: partial 16S ribosomal RNA
Rfam family: Bacterial small subunit ribosomal RNA
Source: RNAcentral